Molecule: long non-coding RNA, 771 nt
Organism: Cephus cinctus (wheat stem sawfly)
Lineage: Eukaryota; Metazoa; Arthropoda; Insecta; Hymenoptera; Cephidae
Exons: 3
Source: RefSeq, a predicted model, not a curated record
GUCGCCGUAUACUGCUGUAUACCAAAAUACUCCACUGUACGGGAGGUUGCCUAGUUGAAGGGGCUUCAUUCUGAAUAUGGAAUUAUGACAACACUUCAAUUCAUGAAAUCACAGAUAGUAUUGUAAUACGAUUGACUGAGUGCAUAUAACGAGAAUCCCAGAGUAUACACGUGCGUAUUUAUAUACAUACGAAGGUGUGGGAACCAGAGAGAUCCAAUGUUCUGACUAGCCAAUGAACUCUAGAGAAAGCUGAGAGUCAGAAAAUAGACAGGCGCAUCCUCCAUUCGCCUAGAUAUACAUUAGCGUUAUAGACGCGUGCACAUGUAUAUCAGCGGCCGAAGAUCAAGAGAAUCAUAAAAACAGACACGAUCUCUUUGUAUUGAGUCUGCGUGACGCUUAUACCACAAGAAAAGUUCAUGGAGAAAACGAUGAUUUUUACAUGCCGAUGAAGUAAAGUAUCUUAACCAAAUGGCGGUACGAAAUCUUGCGGAAUUAUAGGGACAUCGACUAUAUAUUUAAUUGUUUCGUACGAUUCUAACUAAUGAUGAAACUUGCUACAAAAUUAUGUUUGCUAUACUAUGAUCAAACAUGAUUAUUCGUUAGUAUGCGAAUAAAAUGAUCGUUUGCUAAAUAAAAAGUGAAAUAGAAAUUUUCAUAUCAGUUAACUUACGAUAAAUAAGCUGUCCAAAAGUAUCACCUGGAUCAUUUUAGUUAGACCUGCGUGUCUAUAAUUGGCUAUAUAAUCUCAUUGUUGUUAAGACGCUUCAGCUA